CCUACGGGUGGCAGCAGUGGGGAAUAUUGGACAAUGGGCGAAAGCCUGAUCCAGCCAUGCCGCGUGUGUGAAGAAGGCCUUCGGGUUGUAAAGCACUUUCAGUGGGGAAGAAAGCCUUGGGGCUAAUACCCUCGAGGAAGGACAUCACCCACAGAAGAAGCACCGGCUAACUCCGUGCCAGCAGCCGCGGUAAUACGGAGGGUGCGAGCGUUAAUCGGAAUUACUGGGCGUAAAGCGCGCGUAGGCGGUCUGAUAAGCCGGUUGUGAAAGCCCCGGGCUCAACCUGGGAACGGCAUCCGGAACUGUCAGGCUAGAGUGCAGGAGAGGAAGGUAGAAUUCCCGGUGUAGCGGUGAAAUGCGUAGAGAUCGGGAGGAAUACCAGUGGCGAAGGCGGCCUUCUGGACUGACACUGACGCUGAGGUGCGAAAGCGUGGGUAGCAAACAGGAUUAGAUACCCGCAGUAGUC
This 466-nucleotide ribosomal RNA is filed under the name Vreelandella stevensii. Its description in RNAcentral is "partial 16S ribosomal RNA". It matches the Rfam family "Bacterial small subunit ribosomal RNA", at positions 338 to 795 of the family's 1533-position model. The record is from RNAcentral. Lineage: Bacteria; Pseudomonadati; Pseudomonadota; Gammaproteobacteria; Oceanospirillales; Halomonadaceae.